RNAcentral lists this unclassified non-coding RNA (455 nucleotides) under Hevea brasiliensis (rubber tree). Lineage: Eukaryota; Viridiplantae; Streptophyta; Magnoliopsida; Malpighiales; Euphorbiaceae. The record is from RNAcentral.
UCUCGAGCUCCUUCAAACGCAGUAGAAGCUGAAAAUGACGCUUGGAGAAAGGCAAGGAGAUGAGAAAAAUGACUCAAAGUACUGCGGAGUUGAAACGGAGUUCAAUGAUGACAUGCCUCAACUUCUCUCCCUCAACAUUCAUGGAGGAUUCGACUUUGUUGUCGCACCAUUGAUGGAUCCUGCUUACAGGCCUAGUUUACUGGUGAGUAGCAAUGGUGGAUCUGGGGUUCUUCCAUUCGCUGGGUCAGACUUGGUGCUAAGCCCUUCCCAAUGGAGUAGUCAUGUUGUUGGUAAAAUUAGCUCAUGGCUUGACUUGGAUUCUGAGGAUGAAAUGUUUCGGAGGGAUUCUGAGAUUACUUUGAAACAAGAAAUAGCCUGGGCUUCUCACCUUUCACUGCAGGCCUGUCUUCUUCCUGCACCCAAGGGAGUGACCUGUGCUAAUUAUGCUAGAUGUG